CGCUCCCCUCAGCCCCAUUCCAGGCCCACAGCCCCUCAAGCUUCCACCCAGCCCCAGCCACUAACUCUCAAAUGACAAAUGUGUUUCCUGUUUCAUCAGGACAGGACAUCGAUGUCAUCUGUAACUUCCGGUGCACUGGGGCACACAGCUGCAUCUCCCCAUGCUCACCUCCUGCCUCUUGCUCUGCCCAGUCUCGCCAACCCCCGUGGACUGCUGGCUCUCAAGGCGGCCGCUAGCCCAGCUCCGACAGCAGCUGACAAUGCACAGUAUGCGGCCCAGGGCAGGCCCUGUGCUGAGAGGCAUGGGUGAAUGGCUCAUUUCAUCGGCAAGCCCACGCCACCAGCAGGCGCCGUUCUCCUCGCAUUUCUCAGGCGAGGAACCUGAGACAAUGAGGUUAAGGAAGUUGUUCAUUACAAGUGGAAGAACCCUGACUUACUUGAAUUCAGCUUUGAAGCCCACAUUCUCUUUUUCUGUGUGUGUGACAGGGUCUCACUUUGUCACCCAGGCCGCAGUGCAGUGGUGUGAACACAGCUCAUUGCAGUCUCAACCUCCCUGACUCAAGCAAUCCUCCUGCCUUAGCCUCCUGAGUAGCUGGGACUACAAGCAUGUGCCACCACGCCCAGCCGAAGCCCAUAUGUGAAUGUUGAGGCACACAGCCUCCCCAGCCUCUGCCUUACCAAGCCCUCCACAGGGCCUAGGCACCCUCC
Molecule: long non-coding RNA, 707 nt
Filed under: Homo sapiens (human)
Lineage: Eukaryota; Metazoa; Chordata; Mammalia; Primates; Hominidae
Description: non-protein coding MMP25-AS1:26
Source: RNAcentral